UGGAGGCAGCAGUGGGGAAUCUUGCGCAAUGGCCGCAAGGCUGACGCAGCGACGCCGCGUGUGGGAGGACGCCCUUCGGGGUGUAAACCACUGUUGCCCGGGACGAACCUCCCCUUUCGAGGGGACUGACGGUACCGGGUGAGGAAGCACCGGCUAACUCCGUGCCAGCAGCCGCGGUAAUACGGAGGGUGCGAGCGUUGUCCGGAAUCACUGGGCGUAAAGGGCGCGUAGGCGGCUUCUUAAGCGUGCGGUGAAAGCUCGGGGCUCAACUCCGAGUCGGCCGUGCGAACUGGGGAGCUCGAGCACAGUAGAGGCAGGUGGAAUUCCGGGUGUAGCGGUGGAAUGCGUAGAGAUCCGGAAGAACACCGGUGGCGAAGGCGGCCUGCUGGGCUGUGGCUGACGCUGAGGCGCGACAGCGUGGGGAGCAAACAGGAUUAGAUACCCCGGUAGG
This 451-nucleotide ribosomal RNA is filed under the name uncultured bacterium. Its description in RNAcentral is "bacterial SSU rRNA". It matches the Rfam family "Bacterial small subunit ribosomal RNA", at positions 343 to 794 of the family's 1533-position model. The record is from RNAcentral.